GAAUGAACGCUGGCGGCGCGCCUAAUACAUGCAAGUCGAGCGAGAAGACGUAGCAAUACGUUUGUAAAGCGGCGAACGGGUGAGGAAUACAUGGGUAACCUACCCUCGAGUGGGAAUAACUAGCCGAGAGGUUAGCUAAUACCGCGUACGCUUCUUGGACUUCGGUUCAGGGAGGAAAGCGAUGCCGAGGGUAUCGCGCUCUUGGAUGGGCUCAUGUCCUAUCAGCUUGNGGUGAGGUAACGGCUCACCAAGGCUUCGACGGGUAGCUGGUCUGAGAGGACGAUCAGCCACACUGGCACUGCGACACGGGCCAGACUCCUACGGGAGGCAGCAGUAAGGAUAUUGCGCAAUGGGCGAAAGCCUGACGCAGCGACGCCGCGUGGGGGAU
Molecule: ribosomal RNA, 388 nt
Filed under: uncultured bacterium
Lineage: Bacteria
Description: bacterial SSU rRNA
Rfam family: Bacterial small subunit ribosomal RNA
Source: RNAcentral